RNAcentral lists this transfer RNA (58 nucleotides) under Diaphorina citri (Asian citrus psyllid). It matches the Rfam family "tRNA", at positions 8 to 63 of the family's 71-position model. Rfam says of the family: Transfer RNA (tRNA) molecules are approximately 80 nucleotides in length. Lineage: Eukaryota; Metazoa; Arthropoda; Insecta; Hemiptera; Psyllidae. The record is from Rfam by way of RNAcentral.
UGGUGUAGUGGUUAGCACGGUGGACUCUGGAUCUGGAGGUUGGUGGUUCGAGUCCACC